Molecule: transfer RNA, 69 nt
Filed under: Nesolagus timminsi (Annamite striped rabbit)
Lineage: Eukaryota; Metazoa; Chordata; Mammalia; Lagomorpha; Leporidae
Description: tRNA-His
Rfam family: tRNA
About the family: Transfer RNA (tRNA) molecules are approximately 80 nucleotides in length. Their secondary structure includes four short double-helical elements and three loops (D, anti-codon, and T loops).
Source: RNAcentral
GUAAAUAUAGUUUAAUCUAAAACAUUAGAUUGUGGAUCUAACAAUAGAAAAUUAUUCUUCUUAUUUACC